This 466-nucleotide ribosomal RNA is filed under the name uncultured bacterium. RNAcentral describes it as "bacterial SSU rRNA". It matches the Rfam family "Bacterial small subunit ribosomal RNA", at positions 335 to 792 of the family's 1533-position model. The record is from RNAcentral.
ACUCCUACGGGAGGCAGCAGUAGGGAAUCUUCCACAAUGGGCGCAAGCCUGAUGGAGCAACACCGCGUGAGUGAAGAAGGGUUUCGGCUCGUAAAGCUCUGUUGUUAAAGAAGAACACGUAUUAGAGUAACUGUUCAUACGUUGACGGUAUUUAACCAGAAAGUCACGGCUAACUACGUGCCAGCAGCCGCGGUAAUACGUAGGUGGCAAGCGUUAUCCGGAUUUAUUGGGGCGUAAAGAGAGUGCAGGCGGUUUUCUAAGUCUGAUGUGAAAGCCUUCGGCUUAACCGGAGAAGUGCAUCGGAAACUGGAUAACUUGAGUGCAGAAGAGGGUAGUGGAACUCCAUGUGUAGCGGUGGAAUGCGUAGAUAUAUGGAAGAACACCAGUGGCGAAGGCGGCUACCUGGUCUGCAACUGACGCUGAGACUCGAAAGCAUGGGUAGCGAACAGGAUUAGAUACCCUGGUA